GGGUUGUGAGGUUAAGCGACUAAGCGUACACGGUGGAUGCCCUGGCAGUCAGAGGCGAUGAAGGGCGUGCUAAUCUGCGAUAAGCGCCGGUAAGGUGAUAUGAACCGUUAUAACCGGCGAUACCCGAAUGGGGAAACCC
Molecule: ribosomal RNA, 139 nt
Filed under: Salmonella enterica subsp. enterica serovar Give
Lineage: Bacteria; Pseudomonadati; Pseudomonadota; Gammaproteobacteria; Enterobacterales; Enterobacteriaceae
Also listed under: 4 other names
Description: partial 23S ribosomal RNA
Rfam family: Bacterial large subunit ribosomal RNA
Source: RNAcentral